Molecule: ribosomal RNA, 1369 nt
Filed under: uncultured bacterium
Lineage: Bacteria
Description: bacterial SSU rRNA
Rfam family: Bacterial small subunit ribosomal RNA
Source: RNAcentral
GAUGAACGCUGGCGGCGUGCCUAAUACAUGCAAGUCGAGCGAACGGACGAGAAGCUUGCUUCUCUGAUGUUAGCGGCGGACGGGUGAGUAACACGUGGAUAACCUACCUAUAAGACUGGGAUAACUUCGGGAAACCGGAGCUAAUACCGGAUAAUAUUUUGAACCGCAUGGUUCAAAAGUGAAAGACGGUCUUGCUGUCACUUAUAGAUGGAUCCGCGCUGCAUUAGCUAGUUGGUAAGGUAACGGCUUACCAAGGCAACGAUGCAUAGCCGACCUGAGAGGGUGAUCGGCCACACUGGAACUGAGACACGGUCCAGACUCCUACGGGAGGCAGCAGUAGGGAAUCUUCCGCAAUGGGCGAAAGCCUGACGGAGCAACGCCGCGUGAGUGAUGAAGGUCUUCGGAUCGUAGAACUCUGUUAUUAGGGAAGAACAUAUGUGUAAGUAACUGUGCACAUCUUGACGGUACCUAAUCAGAAAGCCACGGCUAACUACGUGCCAGCAGCCGCGGUAAUACGUAGGUGGCAAGCGUUAUCCGGAAUUAUGGGCGUAAAGCGCGCGUAGCGGUUUUUUAGUCUGAUGUGAAAGCCCACGGCUCAACCGUGGAGGGUCAUUGGAAACUGGAAAACUUGAGUGCAGAAGAGGAAAGUGGAAUUCCAUGUGUAGCGGUGAAAUGCGCAGAGAUAUGGAGGAACACCAGUGGCGAAGGCGACUUUCUGGUCUGUAACUGACGCUGAUGUGCGAAAGCGUGGGGAUCAAACAGGAUUAGAUACCCUGGUAGUCCACGCCGUAAACGAUGAGUGCUAAGUGUUAGGGGGUUUCCGCCCCUUAGUGCUGCAGCUAACGCAUUAAGCACUCCGCCUGGGGAGUACGACCGCAAGGUUGAAACUCAAAGGAAUUGACGGGGACCCGCACAAGCGGUGGAGCAUGUGGUUUAAUUCGAAGCAACGCGAAGAACCUUACCAAAUCUUGACAUCCUUUGACAACUCUAGAGAUAGAGCUUUCCCCUUCGGGGGACAAAGUGACAGGUGGUGCAUGGUUGUCGUCAGCUCGUGUCGUGAGAUGUUGGGUUAAGUCCCGCAACGAGCGCAACCCUUAAGCUUAGUUGCCAUCAUUAAGUUGGGCACUCUAAGUUGACUGCCGGUGACAAACCGGAGGAAGGUGGGGAUGACGUCAAAUCAUCAUGCCCCUUAUGAUUUGGGCUACACACGUGCUACAAUGGACAAUACAAAGGGCAGCGAAACCGUGAGGUCAAGCAAAUCCCAUAAAGUUGUUCUCAGUUCGGAUUGUAGUCUGCAACUCGACUACAUGAAGCUGGAAUCGCUAGUAAUCGUAGAUCAGCAUGCUACGGUGAAUACGUUCCCGGGUCU